UACGGAGGGUGCAAGCGUUAUCCGGAUUCACUGGGUUUAAAGGGUGCGUAGGCGGUUGAUUAAGUCAGUGGUGAAAGCUCGCAGCUUAACUGUGAAACUGCCAUUGAAACUGAUUAACUUGAGUACAAUUGAAGUGGGCGGAAUACAUCAUGUAGCGGUGAAAUGCUUAGAUAUGACAUAGAACACCAAUUGCGAAGGCAGCUCGCUACACAUAUAUUGACUCUGAGGCACGAAAGCGUGGGGAUCAAACAGG
RNAcentral lists this ribosomal RNA (253 nucleotides) under uncultured bacterium. Its description in RNAcentral is "partial 16S ribosomal RNA". It matches the Rfam family "Bacterial small subunit ribosomal RNA", at positions 524 to 776 of the family's 1533-position model. The record is from RNAcentral.